GAUGAACGCUGGCGGCGUGCCUAACACAUGCAAGUCGAGCGGACAGACGCUGCUCUUGUUUCUUUGACGUGAGCCGCGCGCGGGUGUGAAACGCGAGUAACAUCCCCCUAUCAUUCUGGUAUCAUCUCGGGACUCGGGAGCUUACACGAUAUGAUAUUCUGCUGCGCAUGGUUCAAUGGUAAAUGUCGGCGGUGCUGGCAGUACUAGAUGCUUCCGCGCUGCAUUAGCUAGUUGGUACGUUAACGGCUUACCAAGGCAACGAUGCAUAGCCGACCUGAGAGGGUGAUCGGCCACACUGGAGCUGAGACACGGUCCAGACUCCUACGGGAGGCAGCAGUAGGGAAUCUUCCGCAAUGGGCGAAAGCCUGACGGAGCAACGCCGCGUGAGUGAUGAAGGUCUUCGGAUCGUAAAACUCUGUUAUUAGGGAAGAACAUAUGUGUAAGUAACUGUGCACAUCUUGACGGUACCUAAUCAGAAAGCCACGGCUAACUACGUG
This 497-nucleotide ribosomal RNA is filed under the name uncultured bacterium. RNAcentral describes it as "partial 16S ribosomal RNA". It matches the Rfam family "Bacterial small subunit ribosomal RNA", at positions 28 to 507 of the family's 1533-position model. The record is from RNAcentral.